RNAcentral lists this ribosomal RNA (835 nucleotides) under uncultured bacterium. RNAcentral's name for it is "bacterial SSU rRNA". It matches the Rfam family "Bacterial small subunit ribosomal RNA", at positions 61 to 877 of the family's 1533-position model. The record is from RNAcentral.
GUCGAACGCACAGCGAAAGGUGCUUGCACCUUUCAAGUGAGUGGCGAACGCCUGUGUAACACGUGGACAACCUGCCUCAAGGCUGGGGAUAACAUUUGGAAACAGAUGCUAAUACCGAAUAAAACUUAGUGUCGCAUGACACAAAGUUAAAAGGCGCUUCGGCGUCACCUAGAGAUGGAUCCGCGGUGCAUUAGUUAGUUGGUGGGGUAAAGGCCUACCAAGACAAUGAUGCAUAGCCGAGUUGAGAGACUGAUCGGCCACAUUGGGACUGAGACACGGCCCAAACUCCUACGGGAGGCUGCAGUAGGGAAUCUUCCACAAUGGGCGAAAGCCUGAUGGAGCAACGCCGCGUGUGUGAUGAAGGCUUUCGGGUCGUAAAGCACUGUUGUAUGGGAAGAACAGCUAGAAUAGGAAAUGAUUUUAGUUUGACGGUACCAUACCAGAAAGGGACGGCUAAAUACGUGCCAGCAGCCGCGGUAAUACGUAUGUCCCGAGCGUUAUCCGGAUUUAUUGGGCGUAAAGCGAGCGCAGACGGUUUAUUAAGUCUGAUGUGAAAGCCCGGAGCUCAACUCCGGAAUGGCAUUGGAAACUGGUUAACUUGAGUGCAGUAGAGGUAAGUGGAACUCCAUGUGUAGCGGUGGAAUGCGUAGAUAUAUGGAAGAACACCAGUGGCGAAGGCGGCUUACUGGACUGCAACUGACGUUGAGGCUCGAAAGUGUGGGUAGCAAACAGGAUUAGAUACCCUGGUAGUCCACACCGUAGACGAUGAACACUAGGUGUUAGGAGGUUUCCGCCUCUUAGUGCCGAAGCUAACGCAUUAAGUGUUCCGCCUGGG